Molecule: long non-coding RNA, 1061 nt
Filed under: Ursus maritimus (polar bear)
Lineage: Eukaryota; Metazoa; Chordata; Mammalia; Carnivora; Ursidae
Description: lncRNA (ENSUMAG00000001675.1)
Source: RNAcentral
ACAAAUUUGGCUCUAAGCACCUUGCUUCCUAGGAAAGAAGAAAACCUGUCUGGAAUGUGUGUGCAGAAGCCCCAGCGCUGCGAGGGUUCCUUAUUGUGUCCACAUCCUGCAGAGAGAUAAAGGAAGAAUAUAACUGAAGAUACUCCCCCUGGAUUUGUCACAGAGCUGGCUAAUGUGUUGGGUCAGCCACACAUUCUUCCAGUCCAAUCUACUAUUGAGUACUGAGACAAUCAAUUUCUUAGAACCAAAUUGGAUCCACUACGUAUAGACAGCAAGCCUCAAGCAGCCCACGGCCCCGGGACAGCUUCAGAGAGACCUGGGCAAGUCAUGCUACCUUCCUUGUCUUCUAGUUUUUGCAUAUAAAAAAUGAAAAGAAUGAUAUGUACCCUACCUCUCAGGGCUGAAAUGUGAUUCUAUAUGCAACAUACCUGGUGCAGAGAAGAAAGCUGUUAUCAUCAUCAGUGGUGGUGCUGUUGUAACAAUAAGUCACAGACUAAAAACCAGUAUGUAAGGGAAUGUCGCCAAAAUAGCAGAAGAAAUGGAGUUCUCAGAGGCCAUCAAAGCGUUUUGCUGGGGUCCUGGGAGGACAGAUGAAGACAUCUUGGAGGCGGUGAGAGGCUGCAGGCUGCAUCCAUCUGCCAUAUCAGGAUCUGACAAAACUGGUAACAGGUUUCUGCCACUGCAGUGUCCUGGGGGGUGAUGCAUCAUUUCCAAUGAAUAGGAACGGAGAGAGAACGGGGAGGGGAGGAGGCAAAAGAGGGAAGGAGGGAAGGAGAGAGAGUAAGACCUCGUUCUUCCCAGCCAGGUGUCCCUGAAUUCAGCCCUUAGCUGUUGUGGGUUAAUGGCCAGGCUCCAGGGGCAGGGUUUUAGUCCAAGCCUCAGAAGUCCUUGGCCCCAGCAAUGCCCAUGUUGUCCUUCUGGGAUCUGACUGGUGGCAAAGUAGGAAAAAGAUUUUGGUGUGACUGCAUUUGCCUUCGUGGUGGAUGAUGACAAUGGCCACCACUUUUCCAGCACUUCCUAUGAACGAGGCAGUGCAUAACCAUUUUCGUCUCACGUAACUG